This 550-nucleotide ribosomal RNA is filed under the name uncultured bacterium. Its description in RNAcentral is "bacterial SSU rRNA". It matches the Rfam family "Bacterial small subunit ribosomal RNA", at positions 355 to 896 of the family's 1533-position model. The record is from RNAcentral.
UAGGGAAUCUUCCGCAAUGGACGCAAGUCUGACGGAGCAACGCCGCGUGAGUGAAGAAGGUUUUCGGAUCGUAAAACUCUGUUGUUAGAGAAGAACAAGUGCUAGAGUAACUGUUAGCGCCUUGACGGUAUCUAACCAGAAAGCCACGGCUAACUACGUGCCAGCAGCCGCGGUAAUACGUAGGUGGCAAGCGUUGUCCGGAUUUAUUGGGCGUAAAGCGAGCGCAGGCGGUUCCUUAAGUCUGAUGUGAAAGCCCCCGGCUCAACCGGGGAGGGUCAUUGGAAACUGGGGAACUUGAGUGCAGAAGAGGAGAGUGGAAUUCCAUGUGUAGCGGUGAAAUGCGUAGAUAUAUGGAGGAACACCAGUGGCGAAGGCGACUCUCUGGUCUGUAACUGACGCUGAGGCUCGAAAGCGUGGGUAGCAAACAGGAUUAGAUACCCUGGUAGUCCACGCCGUAAACGAUGAGUGCUAAGUGUUGGAGGGUUUCCACCCUUCAGUGCUGCAGUUAACGCAUUAAGCACUCCGCCUGGGGAGUACGACCGCAAGGUUG